This 1085-nucleotide ribosomal RNA is filed under the name Staphylococcus aureus. Its description in RNAcentral is "partial 23S ribosomal RNA". It matches the Rfam family "Bacterial large subunit ribosomal RNA", at positions 1110 to 2196 of the family's 2925-position model. Lineage: Bacteria; Bacillati; Bacillota; Bacilli; Caryophanales; Staphylococcaceae. The record is from RNAcentral.
AAGCAGCCAUCAUUUAAAGAGUGCGUAAUAGCUCACUAGUCGAGUGACACUGCGCCGAAAAUGUACCGGGGCUAAACAUAUUACCGAAGCUGUGGAUUGUCCUUUGGACAAUGGUAGGAGAGCGUUCUAAGGGCGUUGAAGCAUGAUCGUAAGGACAUGUGGAGCGCUUAGAAGUGAGAAUGCCGGUGUGAGUAGCGAAAGACGGGUGAGAAUCCCGUCCACCGAUUGACUAAGGUUUCCAGAGGAAGGCUCGUCCGCUCUGGGUUAGUCGGGUCCUAAGCUGAGGCCGACAGGCGUAGGCGAUGGAUAACAGGUUGAUAUUCCUGUACCACCUAUAAUCGUUUUAAUCGAUGGGGGGACGCAGUAGGAUAGGCGAAGCGUGCGAUUGGAUUGCACGUCUAAGCAGUAAGGCUGAGUAUUAGGCAAAUCCGGUACUCGUUAAGGCUGAGCUGUGAUGGGGAGAAGACAUUGUGUCUUCGAGUCGUUGAUUUCACACUGCCGAGAAAAGCCUCUAGAUAGAAAAUAGGUGCCCGUACCGCAAACCGACACAGGUAGUCAAGAUGAGAAUUCUAAGGUGAGCGAGCGAACUCUCGUUAAGGAACUCGGCAAAAUGACCCCGUAACUUCGGGAGAAGGGGUGCUCUUUAGGGUUAACGCCCAGAAGAGCCGCAGUGAAUAGGCCCAAGCGACUGUUUAUCAAAAACACAGGUCUCUGCUAAACCGUAAGGUGAUGUAUAGGGGCUGACGCCUGCCCGGUGCUGGAAGGUUAAGAGGAGUGGUUAGCUUCUGCGAAGCUACGAAUCGAAGCCCCAGUAAACGGCGGCCGUAACUAUAACGGUCCUAAGGUAGCGAAAUUCCUUGUCGGGUAAGUUCCGACCCGCACGAAAGGCGUAACGAUUUGGGCACUGUCUCAACGAGAGACUCGGUGAAAUCAUAGUACCUGUGAAGAUGCAGGUUACCCGCGACAGGACGGAAAGACCCCGUGGAGCUUUACUGUAGCCUGAUAUUGAAAUUCGGCACAGCUUGUACAGGAUAGGUAGGAGCCUUUGAAACGUGAGCGCUAGCUUACGUGGAGGCGCUGGUGGG